UACGAAGGGUGCAAGCGUUAAUCGGAAUUACUGGGCGUAAAGCGUGCGUAGGCGGUUUGUUAAGUCUGUUGUGAAAUCCCCGGGCUCAACCUGGGAAUGGCAAUGGAUACUGGCAAGCUAGAGUGUGUCAGAGGAUGGUGGAAUUCCCGGUGUAGCGGUGAAAUGCGUAGAGAAUCGGGAGGAACAUCAGUGGCGAAGGCGGCCAUCUGGGACAACACUGACGCUGAGGCACGAAAGCGUGGGGAGCAAACAGG
This 254-nucleotide ribosomal RNA is filed under the name uncultured bacterium. RNAcentral describes it as "partial 16S ribosomal RNA". It matches the Rfam family "Bacterial small subunit ribosomal RNA", at positions 524 to 776 of the family's 1533-position model. The record is from RNAcentral.